UUAAAGUUCUCUCGCAUUUCU
Molecule: non-coding RNA, 21 nt
Organism: Caenorhabditis elegans
Lineage: Eukaryota; Metazoa; Nematoda; Chromadorea; Rhabditida; Rhabditidae
Source: Ensembl